GGCCAAACGAGAGGACCGUAAAUUGGUAGUGUCAAUGAUGCACCGUAAACCAUAGGUACCGUCUGUGCAGGGGAUAAAUAGUGAUAUGGAAAUAUGCGUCCUUCAUGUCGAGAGCAGUGUACCAGUCUCCGGGAUCCA
Molecule: long non-coding RNA, 138 nt
Organism: Gopherus evgoodei (Goodes thornscrub tortoise)
Lineage: Eukaryota; Metazoa; Chordata; Testudines; Testudinidae
Exons: 3
Source: RefSeq, a predicted model, not a curated record